Molecule: long non-coding RNA, 608 nt
Organism: Lycium ferocissimum
Lineage: Eukaryota; Viridiplantae; Streptophyta; Magnoliopsida; Solanales; Solanaceae
Exons: 2
Source: RefSeq, a predicted model, not a curated record
UUGCUGCUGGUUGCUGCUGUUUCUGUCAAUGCUAGAAAGACAGCUUGUUGCUGUAUUUUUGGUAUCCAUUGCUACAUUUUGCACAAAUGAUGCACUUAAUUUUUGAAUCAAUAGUUGUUGUUGCUACACUUGUGGCAUUUACGCAGACAGGGGCUACACUUGGUGCUGCUAUACUUUGGCUUUGCAUUUGUGAAGCUGCUUGUUAAAACUGCAGUGUCUUUGAUUUAAAAAAAUGAUCAAUGUAGCACUUGAAGUGUUCACUUGAUACCACCUAUUUGCUGCUGCAUUUUCGUCACUUCUAAGGCUAGUUUGUUGUUUCUAUUUACUGCUAUCUUGCUGCUGAUACAAAGCCAAACUAAGGACAUUAGACCUGAACCAAUCUGCUAUUAUGUUUUGAAACCUGUACUGCUGCAUUGUGAAACAAAAUGGUUGCUUCAUUUCGGCCAUUUAGCAUUUUGGCCAAACAGUUUUACUGUUAGGGCAUGUGCUACUACUGCUUUUCAAGAAGUUAUUGCAUUUGGAAGAAUAGAUACUGCGUCUCGAUAUGUUUGCUACUUUUUUUCCCCUAAAAAAUGAGCAGAUGCUACAAGGGAAAUAUUUCUAUAUUC